UGGCACUUGCACUUAGGGAUUGCAAGCGGUGGCGCAAGAGCCAUAGUGAGGAAAAUAUGAACGGGUAGAAUGGCUCGGGUGAAAUGGAAGGGAUGAAUUCCUCCAUUAUUUAUAACCACGGCACAGUUAACCGAGAAGCAAAAUUAACACGGAAUAUUCCAUUUUUAAAAGCCCUCAGUUAUCGCUGGACGGUUUCCAAAUUUUCUGGAAGAGAUAAGGUUAAUGUUGGCAAACGGUUACGUUGACUAAUGGUUGACCCUUAUACCCAAACUAGUCGAAUAAUGGCUUGGGGGCUGUGUGCCACGUGCCUGUCGGCUAAAAAGUUUUUUCUUUGGGUAAAAGAGAUAUGAAAUUACAAGAUUGACCCUCAACAUGAUUCUUCGAUUCAACCUAAGGCUUGGGGGCUACUCCAUAUGGAGUGCGAUUUUCAUUGAAAUUCCAUAUAAGAUUCAAGAUCAAGU
This 461-nucleotide long non-coding RNA is filed under the name Setaria viridis. RNAcentral describes it as "long non-coding RNA (SVIR_LNC010824)". The record is from RNAcentral. Lineage: Eukaryota; Viridiplantae; Streptophyta; Magnoliopsida; Poales; Poaceae.